UCGCGGGCGGCGCCGCGUUCCCGCCCUACCGGCUGGGCUUCGGCGGCGCGGCCGCGGGGCUGGAGCGCGGCGCCUACGAGCCCUUCGACGUGGCGGGCAAGUUCGGCGGCGCGGCGCGCUUCUCGUACACCUCGCAGCACUCGGACUACGGGCAGCGCUUCCAGCAGCGCAUGCAGACGCACGUUUAGGGCGGGGAGGGCUCCGCGGGUACCUCACGAGCGUCCCCCUGAUAUUCAGGGGUUCGCCCCGAUUUCCCCCCCCGGCCUCUCCUCGGAGCUUCCGUUCGUCGCCCCGGUUCUCUCGCCGGUACGUUCCCGUCCCCGCGGGCGCGGGCAGGGGUCGGCGCCGCGCUCCUCGUGCCCCUUGCGGCCCCGGCGCCGUUCCCGGAGCUUUCCCAGGGAGCAGCUCUGUGCCAGAUCCAGAGGGGCGCGUGAACCCCAAAACCAGCCCCAACCCAAACCGUUCCCACUGGGAUCCGUGUGUUCCCAGAUCCAGAGGGGCGCGUGAGCCCCAAAACCAGCCCAACCCGAACCACUCCCACUGGGAUCCGUGUGUUCCCAGAUCCAGAGGGGCACGUGAACCCCAAAACCAGCCCAACCCAAACCAUUCCCACUGGGAUCCGUGUGUUCCCAAAUCCAGAGGGGCACGUGAACCCCAGAACCAGCCCAACCCGAACCAUUCCCGUUGGGAUCCGUGUGUUCCCAGAUCCAGAGGGGCACAUGAACCCCAAAACCAGCCCAACCCGAACCAUUCCCGUUGGGAUCCACGUGUUCCCAGAUCCACAGGGGAGACACAAAUCCCAAAAAAACCCAUCUCAAAUCAUUCCCAUUCCUCAAAGCAUUCCCACUGGGAUCAGCAUGCUCCCAAAUCCAGAGGGAUGUGCAAAUCCCAGAACCAGCCCCAUCCCAAACCAUUCCCAUUGGGAUCCGUGUGUUCCCAAAUCCAGAGGGAUGUGCAAAUCCCAGAACCAGCCCCAUCCCAAACCAUUCCCGUUGGGAUCCACGCGUUCCCAAAUCCCGAGGGAUGCUCCAAUCCCAGAUCCAGCCGCCUCCCGCACCAUUCCCAUUGGGAUCCGUGUGUUCCCAGAUCCACAGGGGAGACACAAAUCCCAAAAAAUCCCAACCCGAACCAUUCCCAUUGGGACCCGUGCAUUCCCAAAUCCCGAGGGAUGCGCCAAUCCCAGAACCAGCCGCAUCCCGAACCAUUCCCAUUGGGAUCCGUGUGUUCCCAAAUCCAGAGGGGCACACCAAUCCCCAAAAAACCCAUCCCGCACCAUUCCCAUUCCCUGUGCCUUGAUUUUGGGGCCGCCCCUGGCUCAGGGCCGGCUCCCCCCGUUUCCCCUCGGCGCCGGGAAUUUGGGGUUUUCGGGAGCCGCCCCGCACGCACAGCGAUCCCCCGGGAGAGGCAGCGCGGGAUCCCAGAGCUGGGAUCGGGGUCCCCCCUGAACCCCCGCGUUCCCGGGAAUUCCGGGAAUUCCGACCGAAACUUUGGGAUCGGGAGCUCGGCCCUGCCCCGAAUCCCAGUUCCGGGCACCGGGGGGAACCGGGGACCCCAGCGUGGCGUGGGGGAAUUUGGGGGAUGAGUUUUGGAGGGAAUUCCCAGCCCCAAUUCCCAAAUUCCCAAAGGGGUCCCAGUUUGGGAUGGGGGAAUUUUUGGGGGAUGAAUUUUUGGGGGAAUUCCCAGAGGAUUCCCAGCCCCAAUUCGGCAUGGGGGAAUCUGGGGAGGAACAAUUUUGGGGGGAUGAAUUUUGGAGGGAAUUCCCAGCCCCAAUUCCCAAAUUCCUGAAGGGGUCCCAAUUCGGGAUGGGGGAAUUUGGGGAGGAUGAGUUUUGGGGGGAUGAAUUCCUGGCUGAUUCCCAAAAACCCCUCAAGGAUUUGGUACGAGACCCCUGCCCACCCCUCCGGGGGCUGCCUCGGGAUCAGGAUCUUCCCCAAAAUCCCCCAAAUCCCCAAAUUCCCGAAUUCCCAGUGGCCAAUCCCGGUACGAGCCGUGGGAUCUCAUUUCCCUCUGCCGAAACUCCCCAAAACCAACACAGAAGGUCCCGAAAGGCCCAAAGGUGCCUGAAUUCACCCCAAAAGCCCCGAGGGGGGAGGGAAUUCCCGCUCCAGGUGCUGCACCCCAAAUUCCAGAGCAAUAUCCCGCGGGAAAAGGGGGAGCCCCGCCCGGCCACGGGAAGCUUUAACAUUCCAACCCCACUUUGGGGCUGGAAAAUGGAAUUUCCCCCUUUUGUUUUUUAGCACAGGUUGGUUUAGAGACCCUCCCCCGUCCCUUUCCCCCCAAAAUUCCGCCAUUUCUCCCCGAU
Long non-coding RNA from Lonchura striata (white-rumped munia), 2302 nucleotides. Lineage: Eukaryota; Metazoa; Chordata; Aves; Passeriformes; Estrildidae. The record is from Ensembl.